UCACCAAUAGAAGGUUAGGUCACAUUCGAAAACAUAAAGUGAAUAGGCCCCAUAACAUCAUUGAGGAUGUCAAAUGUGCCGAUUGGAAAUGUCAUCAAAUGUCAGUAGAUUUUUGUUUUCUUUCAUUCUCUCCUUCUUUCUCUGAAAAAAAACUAUCUGUUUUGUUAUUUGCUGUUUGUUAAACAAGUUAAAACAAGCUCCAUGUAAGCAAUUGGUUAUUUAAAGGCGCCAAUAACUCGCUUUGUCAUAUCGAGUAUCACAGGCACUCAGUAUUUAAACAAGAAUAGGCCGCCCGGCAUCUCACUGAGACUCUCCAUUCGAUAUCGCUGAUUGCGCGAGACUGCAACCUGUGGAAGCGCCCAGUUGAGCUUCUCGUAAUGACGAUGAGCACCACACAAUCGUAGAUUAGAGUUCCAACCCGUGUGCUGCUCAUGGUCAUCCCGUACCAGAAUUGGUUUUGUUACUGCCUUCAAUGCUGUUGAAAUUGCCACAUGUGAAUCUUUUUGGAAGUUAUAUUGAUGUUCUGGAACCUACACGUUUUCUUUUGUUGGCGUAAACUUCCCCCUCUUUUCCCUUCCAAGAUGGAUUUGUGUCACAAUCGUCGAUGUCCCCAUGAGUCUUCCUUUUGAGAUAAACCUGUCGAUGCAUACCUUCCCAUCUAAUCAAUUGAAUAAAUAAACACCUGAAACACAAUUUGGCCGAGCUAUUGAAGAUCUCAUUUAUACCUACUGCUUUAUGUAGAAGAAUGUCAGCUAUUGUUAGCAUACUGUGCACCACAUUAUUUUUAUUCGUUUUUGUAUUCAAAAUUUGUUGUUGUUGUAGUAGGCACAUUUGCAACCUGUGGAAGCGCCCAGUUGAGCUUCUCGUAAUGACGAUGAGCACCACACAAUCGUAGAUUAGAGUUCCAACCCGUGUGGUGCCCAUCGUCAUCCCGUGCCGGGGGCAAAAUUUGUAAUUUGUACAACCGGCUCCCAUGGGAUUGUAGAUGUGGGUUAAUUCGUUUUUACUUGUUGGUUUUAAAAAGACAAAAACUUUUAAUUAAUUUAAAUACUUUUUUAAAUAAAUCAUCUAUUUUCUACGAUGAAAUAUAUGCUUA
Stomoxys calcitrans (stable fly) is the source of this 1096-nucleotide long non-coding RNA. RefSeq lists it as uncharacterized. NCBI's taxonomy places the organism in Eukaryota, Metazoa, Arthropoda, Insecta, Diptera, Muscidae. The record is from RefSeq and is a predicted model, not a curated record. The transcript has 2 exons.